AUGAGUUUAUAUUGAUGAGCCAGCGCUUUAUCAUUCUCUAUCCAUUUAAACAUUGCUUUAGUUUGCAUUACCUAAUUGAGAACUGUCAGAAAUAUAUAAUCAGAUGAAAAUCCGAUUUAUCCAUAGGAAACUAGAGGGUCGUAGAUGAAUCAUUUCUUAUAAAGAGAAACCAGUAGAGCCAAUCUUGGUGAAAAUUCACUUGAAUUUUAAAAAUAUUACUUCAAGAGCAUGGUUAACAAUCUUUCAUGUGAUUUUGUCUUUUAAUACAGUUUUUUAAGUGUGAUUUUCUUUUACACAAUCCAAUUAUGUUCACAUGUGAUUUUGACACCAUUUACAUGAUUUAUUUUUAGAUUGGAUCGUAUCAGAUGUCAUGCAUAUUUUUAUGUUGUAAAUGUGUGAUCACACAUUUUUUUUCCACACAUGAUGACAUAUGCAUCUGUGAAAAAAUAAUUGUCUAUAAACCAAAUGCAUCUGUUUCAUGUGACUUUAAUUCUGUGAAAUGUUUCAGCUUUGAUACCAUCCUCUCCUUGUUGGCCAUCUUUGUGAUUCUCAUACUGUCAGGCUACACCCAUAGUCAUCACACAAGAGGGAUGGGGAGAGAGGCACUGGUAAACAUAAAAAUGUCCAAACACACCAGAUGCGGGCAGAACCUGAGAAAGUCCACACAGACAGUAAGAGUUCAGCAUUAAACCGCAGCCCCUAGAGAGAGCCACACUCAUCUUCAUUCAGGAUGUGCUGAAAAUAGAAUGAGAUGCCAUGGGAUGUCUGCCUCAUCUUCCUGGAGUUCCCUUGAGUAGGUGGACAAAAACAGACAUGCAGCUAUGAUACUUUAACUUGGUUCCCUGAAGCUACAGUUAGAAGAUUUAUGGUACUGGUAGAAAAUCCCAUCCUCCACUGACCUGAAUUUCUUUUGUAGAGCAUGUGGUAAGUGUUGAAAGGAAUAUUAUCACCUCCAGCAAAUUCUAAGUGUAUGGUAAUAGAAGACAUUUAUUGUACAGAAGUAUAUUUGAACUGGACCAGCUACAGAUGUGAGUUUGCACAGUUAAGGGCAAGACAA
This is a long non-coding RNA of Tachysurus fulvidraco (yellow catfish), 1057 nucleotides long. RefSeq lists it as uncharacterized. Lineage: Eukaryota; Metazoa; Chordata; Actinopteri; Siluriformes; Bagridae. The transcript has 3 exons. The record is from RefSeq and is a predicted model, not a curated record.